This 226-nucleotide ribosomal RNA is filed under the name uncultured bacterium. Its description in RNAcentral is "partial 16S ribosomal RNA". The stretch from base 27 to 226 matches the Rfam family "Bacterial small subunit ribosomal RNA", at positions 903 to 1089 of the family's 1533-position model. The record is from RNAcentral.
GCCGCGUCGACGAAAGCGUGGGAGCAAACAGGAUUGACGGGGACCCGCACAAGCGGUGGAGCAUGUGGUUUAAUUCGAAGCAACGCGAAGAACCUUACCUGGGCUAAAUCACAUUAGAAUUGCGCAGAAAUGUGUAAGCCAGCAAUGGCUGAUGUGAAGGUGCUGCAUGGCUGUCGUCAGCUCGUGUCGUGAGAUAGUCGUGGAGGCGAAGGCACACAGGGAUAGG